This 661-nucleotide ribosomal RNA is filed under the name uncultured Bacilli bacterium. RNAcentral describes it as "bacterial SSU rRNA". It matches the Rfam family "Bacterial small subunit ribosomal RNA", at positions 75 to 720 of the family's 1533-position model. The record is from RNAcentral. Lineage: Bacteria; Bacillati; Bacillota; Bacilli.
GGUGCUUGCACUGGUCAAUCUAGUGGCGAACGGGUGAGUAACACGUGGGUAACCUGCCCAUCAGAGGGGGAUAACAUCCGGAAACGGAUGCUAAAACCGCAUAGGUCUUCGAGCCGCAUGGCUUGAAGAGGAAAAGAGGCGCAAGCUUCUGCUGAUGGAUGGACCCGCGGUGCAUUAGCUAGUUGGUGAGGUAACGGCUCACCAAGGCCGUGAUGCAUAGCCGACCUGAGAGGGUGAUCGGCCACAUUGGGACUGAGACACGGCCCAAACUCCUACGGGAGGCAGCAGUAGGGAAUCUUCCGCAAUGGACGCAAGUCUGACGGAGCAACGCCGCGUGAGUGAAGAAGGUUUUCGGAUCGUAAAACUCUGUUGUUAGAGAAGAACAAGUGCUAGAGUAACUGUUAGCGCCUUGACGGUAUCUAACCAGAAAGCCACGGCUAACUACGUGCCAGCAGCCGCGGUAAUACGUAGGUGGCAAGCGUUGUCCGGAUUUAUUGGGCGUAAAGCGAGCGCAGGCGGUUCCUUAAGUCUGAUGUGAAAGCCUCCGGCUCAACCGGGGAGGGUCAUUGGAAACUGGGGAACUUGAGUGCAGAAGAGGAGAGUGGAAUUCCAUGUGUAGCGGUGAAAUGCGUAGAUAUAUGGAGGAACACCAGUGGCGAAG